AUUGAACGCUGGCGGCAUGCCUUACACAUGCAAGUCGAACGGCAGCACGGGUGCUUGCACCUGGUGGCGAGUGGCGAACGGGUGAGUAAUACAUCGGAACAUGUCCUGUAGUGGGGGAUAGCCCGGCGAAAGCCGGAUUAAUACCGCAUACGAUCCACGGAUGAAAGCGGGGGACCUUCGGGCCUCGCGCUAUAGGGUUGGCCGAUGGCUGAUUAGCUAGUUGGUGGGGUAAAGGCCUACCAAGGCGACGAUCAGUAGCUGGUCUGAGAGGACGACCAGCCACACUGGGACUGAGACACGGCCCAGACUCCUACGGGAGGCAGCAGUGGGGAAUUUUGGACAAUGGGCGAAGGCCUGAUCCAGCAAUGCCGCGUGUGUGAAGAAGGCCUUCGGGUUGUAAAGCACUUUUGUCCGGAAAGAAAUCCUUGACUCUAAUACAGUCGGGGGAUGACGGUACCGGAAGAAUAAGCACCGGCUAACUACGUG
RNAcentral lists this ribosomal RNA (486 nucleotides) under uncultured bacterium. Its description in RNAcentral is "partial 16S ribosomal RNA". It matches the Rfam family "Bacterial small subunit ribosomal RNA", at positions 30 to 507 of the family's 1533-position model. The record is from RNAcentral.